RNAcentral lists this transfer RNA (71 nucleotides) under Sus scrofa (pig). It matches the Rfam family "tRNA". From Rfam's summary of the family: Transfer RNA (tRNA) molecules are approximately 80 nucleotides in length. Their secondary structure includes four short double-helical elements and three loops (D, anti-codon, and T loops). Lineage: Eukaryota; Metazoa; Chordata; Mammalia; Artiodactyla; Suidae. The record is from Rfam by way of RNAcentral.
UCCCUGAUGGUCUAGUGGUUAGGGCCAGAGCUUUCACCCUUGUAGCCCAGGUUCAAUCCCUGGUCUGGGAA